GGAAGCUCUUCUUCUGCUUCUGCUGCCAAAGAGCCAGUUGUUGCCCUAGUGAAGAAGGUGCAGGAGGUAUUCAACUAAAAAUACAAUGAAGUGGGAGGCUACCGUACCGUUCUCUUCAAAAUCAUAGCAUCAUCAUAAAUGCUUCUGGACUACCUAACGGCCUGACCCUGAAAAAGCCAUCCCACUAUGGAAGAAAACAGUUAGAAGACAUUUUAAAAGCUGCAGAGCAAAUUUCUUUUCAAAUAGAUGUACAGAGUGUUGAGGAGGGAGUUCAAUCGUGGUGAUGACUGCAAAUGUGACUGGCGGAUCUCCGGGAACAGCCUGACGUCGAGUUAAGCUCUGCCGCACAGCCGCAUUUAGGCCUGGUGGCUGAAAGUCCCGGUGUGUGACGUUCGCAUCUGGCCGGUGGAUUAUUGUCUUACUCGGCGCUGGGUGACUCUGGAGGCCCGACAGAGUCACCUAGAA
Molecule: long non-coding RNA, 465 nt
Organism: Girardinichthys multiradiatus
Lineage: Eukaryota; Metazoa; Chordata; Actinopteri; Cyprinodontiformes; Goodeidae
Exons: 4
Source: RefSeq, a predicted model, not a curated record